RNAcentral lists this ribosomal RNA (254 nucleotides) under uncultured bacterium. Its description in RNAcentral is "partial 16S ribosomal RNA". It matches the Rfam family "Bacterial small subunit ribosomal RNA", at positions 524 to 776 of the family's 1533-position model. The record is from RNAcentral.
CACGUAGGGUGCGAGUGUUGUCCGGAAUUAUUGGGCGUAAAGAGCUCGUAGGCGGUGUGUCGCGUCGGCCGUGAAAACCUGCAGCUUAACUGUGGGCUUGCGGUCGAUACGGGCAUCACUGGAGUUCGGCAGGGGAGACUGGAAUUCCUGGUGUAGCGGUGAAAUGCGCAGAUAUCAGGAGGAACACCGGUGGCGAAGGCGGGUCUCUGGGCCGAUACUGACGCUGAGGAGCGAAAGCGUGGGGAGCGAACAGG